This 442-nucleotide ribosomal RNA is filed under the name uncultured bacterium. RNAcentral describes it as "partial 16S ribosomal RNA". It matches the Rfam family "Bacterial small subunit ribosomal RNA", at positions 338 to 795 of the family's 1533-position model. The record is from RNAcentral.
CCUACGGGAGGCAGCAGUGGGGAAUAUUGGGCAAUGGGCGCAAGCCUGACCCAGCAAUGCCGCGUGCAGGAAGAAGGCUUUCGGGUUGUAAACUUCUUUGACAGGGGAAGAGCAGACGACGGUACCUAUAUAAGCAGCACCGGCUAACUCCGUGCCAGCAGCCGCGGUAAUACGGAGGGGGCGAGCGUUUUUCGGAGUUACUGGGCGUAAAGAGCACGUAGGGGGUGUUGUAAGUCAUUAGUCAAAGACUAGAGCUCAACUUUAGUAAGGCUAGUGAUACUAUAAUACUAGAGUAUCAGAGAGGAUUGCAGAAUGCCUGGUGUAGCGGUGAAAUGCGUAGAUAUCAGGAGGAAUACCGUUAGCGAAGGCGGCAAUCUGGCUGGAAACUGACGCUGAGGUGCGAAAGCGUGGGUAGCAAACAGGAUUAGAUACCCGUGUAGUC